This 2784-nucleotide long non-coding RNA is filed under the name Vulpes vulpes (red fox). RNAcentral's name for it is "lncRNA (ENSVVUG00000030055.1)". The record is from RNAcentral. Lineage: Eukaryota; Metazoa; Chordata; Mammalia; Carnivora; Canidae.
CUUAUCCUGUUACAUAAUUAUCAAAUAAAACAGUAAUUCCAGAAUAAGUAAUAGCAGUCACACAGAGUACUGCAUGGUUAGACAUUUUCCUCUUGGUUGGAAGACAUUAGGGUAUAAUAUCUAACAAAGAAUUUCUCUGAAUAUCUAAGCAGUGAACUAAUAACCAGAGCGGUGUCUGAAAACCAGUCCGCAGCCAGUCGAGAGGGCCUUGCUCUCGUGAUCUUGCAUGCUUCACAGUUCCACGAAAAAAACCCAGAACUGUCAGUCGAAAGACAGUUUUAAGAUGGUGUUUUUGCUCUAAUCUUUUGGUUUGGGGAGGCUUCCUUUAUAAAAUCCAAAGUCCUUAAGAGAGUGAAUUUGGCACUGCGCCAAAGGCUUCUCUGGCUUCUCAGGCAAGGAUCCGGGUGUUCUUUUUCUUCCAGCGCUGUGAUGGGCACACUAGGAGCAGCUCCUUGCUGAGCCCUGGGGCUCCUGCAGAUGAGGACAGCAGGGGACCAGGCAGAUGGCCAAGACGACAGUGAGGAGAGCAGAGCCCACAGCCGGCUGCGGUGGACAGUCUGCCGCAGAGGGCAGGCAGACGCAGGGGUCAGCUCAGGGGUCAGCUCUGAGCCCCCGGGGUGCUCCCAGAGGCCUUCCUUCCGGAUUAGUGCCACUGUCCUUCAGGCUGAGCAAAAUGGAUCGUUUCAGUGUCACUCCCCAGUCAGUCAAUUCCCAUCAGGAUCUGGAGGUGCCGAGGAGGCGGGCCGUCAGCCGGGACUCACUUUGCAGCACAUAAUGCCCAGGUCCUGCGAGGAAGGAGUGGGAAGGAGCAGGAAAUUGGACUUAAGUCGCCUCCAGAUCAACACAGAGUUCAAUCCUGGUUGGUGUUUGUUUAUAAAAUAACUCUCCAACUCAUUCACACUCUGUUUCCCGGUUAACCUCUGGGACACAUGGCGCGCAGCCUACCAAGGAGAUUUUCUGGGGUUGUUCGUGAAAGUGCUGAGUUCAACACCAACAGAAAGGAAUUUGGGGUCAGAAUGACUAUUUUAAACUGAGGCCUUUGGGAUUUAGAAAAGAUGUUUCUGAUAUGCUAAACCAGCUGGAAGAGCCUCUGAGACCUCCAAUGCAAGCGAGGGUUUCCUUCGUGUGUGUGACAGGUGAGGACAACCAGGUCUGGGAGGCGGGCCGACUGCCUCCUGCGCCUUCAGAAUCUGAGCUAACUCCUUGCAGUCCCUGAGCACAGAAGUACCGAAAGGGAGAGCAAAUCCCUGCACACUCCAGACCACUCCCACGGUGAAGUUGCACUUGGUGGGGGGAUCCCCUGUCUCUCCCUGCUCCAGCUGAGGCGGUUUCAGUCUUCACCAGAUAAAAAGAGACAUUCAAGGUCAUUAGCCCAAUUUUUCUCUGUGAGGGUGGAGCUGGGAUUGGCUACAGAGCUAUUCUGAUGACCCAGAAAUUACAUGUACUCAUUUCUUUCUUUUUAGAUAAAAGCAUUUCUAUUCCAGUUUUUCUAUGGCUCCUUUUCAAGAGAAGAGGGGGGGAAAAAGUCCCACAUCUUUGCUAGCAGACUCUCCUUUUUCUGUGUGCAGUCUUUUAUAAUCUAUCUUGAUUCUCCGCCAAUACCAUACUUUUUUUUUUUGUACUUUAUGUCUUUUAAUCACCUAAGGAAUCUGACUCAGUGUCCUUCCCUCUGGAUCACAGGCUACUCUUCCUUUAUCUGUAUCUCCCAGGAGGAGAGGGAGAGGCUACAAACCUUUUUUUCCUAUGUUGGCUCCUGCCCUGACAAUAUAACUUCCUUCUCUCUUAGCCCUUUUUGGGACUGCUGUUCCAUCCUGAGCUUGACUGUAAGGCAUUAUUUUUAUGUAACAACAGGAAACUCUCUUAAGAACUUAUUAUUAAAACAAGUGAAGAAGCUCUCAUAUAUAUGUGUACACAAAUGUGUGUGUGAAUAGAUAUAACUACAUAAAUGUAUAUCAUAGAAGAUAUGGAAAACCUUUUCAUUUUAGGUUUUCUUUUUUUAAGAGCCAAAAUUAAAAAAAAAUAUGUACGAGCAUUCACUAGAUCCUUUUUAAUAGUUUUUCUUUGCGGGAGGGAUAAGCAAUUAUGUGAUCAAAUAUUUUCUGCUUGGGUCAUAGCACACUGAGAGCCAUGUUCAUAAACACCCACACUUUAUAGGUUUUGGUAUGAUAGAAGUAAAAUAGAGAGAGUUAUAAUGGAAAAUGAAUUAACAAUCACUAACACACGAUGAAAGCCAUUCAACCAUGAAAAACGUCAAAGGAAGGUCUAGGACCAAACCUAGUCCCAUUUUAGUCCUUGAUUAUGGUUUGACUAUAAGCUUCAGGUUUGUGGGCAGAUUUCUUUUGGGACAGAAACUUUUUCUACUCAAGUACCAAUAUUUUUUUCUUAAAAAAUAAUUUCUCUGUUUCCCCCACAUUCAAACACAUUCAGUUUUGACAAAUGCCUGAAGGUUUAUAUAAGAUAAUGAAUUUGACAAGUCCUAGUCUCCUUUAAGUUGGCAUUUGUAGCUUCUCUGACAGUGCCAGGUACUGGCUUAUGUUGGAAUGUUAUGCUGCUUUUAAUUUUCUAAAAAAUACAUUAAGUGGGAUCCCUGGGUGGCGCAGCGGUUUGGCGCCUGCCUUUGGCCCAGGGCGCGAUCCUGGAGACCCGGGAUCGAAUCCCACAUCAGGCUCCCGGUGCAUGGAGCCUGCUUCUCCCUCUGCCUGUGUCUCUGCCUCUCUCUCUCUCUCUCUCUCUCUCUCCCUCUCUGUGACUAUCAUAAAUAAAUAAAAAUUUUAAAAAAAUACA